This 22767-nucleotide long non-coding RNA is filed under the name Cucumis sativus (cucumber). RNAcentral describes it as "long non-coding RNA (CSAT_LNC000724)". Lineage: Eukaryota; Viridiplantae; Streptophyta; Magnoliopsida; Cucurbitales; Cucurbitaceae. The record is from RNAcentral.
UCUUUUUUUUGUUGGUUUGUGGAUAUAUGUAAUUUGUCUUUUAGUGUAUUUUUACAAGGGUGUUGACUCGAACCAAUUUGAAACAAAAAAAAAUGUUUUCUAAACUAUAUAUUUUUUAUUUUUAAAAUUUAAUUGUAAAUUAAAUAUUUGAUAAUCGUUUUCGUUUCUCAAUUUUAAAUUUGAAGAAACAUUCCUAAAGAAAAGAAAAUAUCUCUUAUCCAUUUAUGACUCCCUAAACAUAACUGAUUGUGUUAAGUCGUUUUGAUGGUUGAGAGACCCGUCCAAUUCAAUUACGUAUCACCCAACCUCAUUUUUAUGUAUUGUUUUUCUUUUUCAAAAUUAAUUCUUCUUUUUAUAUUUUAUAUAUUAUUUAAGUUUUGAAUUUUAGAUUUUUCAAUAGAUUGAUUUAUAUAUUAUUUAAUUUAAAAUUUUAAAAUUUUCAUAUAAAUAUGUAUAUAUUAUUGUCCUUGUGAAUUUUAAAAUUAUAUAUAUAUAUUCUUUCCAUAUAUAUUUUCUGUUUUGAAUUUUAGAUUUCACAAUUAUUUUCUGCUUAGAACAUUUUAGAUGUUUGCAAUGUAUAAAUGAUAUUUUGUUCAUUUAGCUUUAUUUAUAUAUAUAUAUAACCUUAUAUCUAUUAGUAAGAUGAUAGUAGCCUGACAAUUUAUUAGACACUAACACUUCUUUUUUAUAUAUGUAUUCGAAUAUUUAUUUGAAAGAUUUUUGGAAGUGGAGUAUGAUGAAAGUGUUAAUUAAAGAAUAUGCGAGCACUAGUUGUGAUAUUUUUUAAUCCACUCUCUAUCAUAUCUUUCUCUUAAAAAUAUCACUUCUUUUUUUAUGGAUAUAGGAAUUUUAAAUUCUCUAUCGCCAUGUAACAUUUUGAAAUUAGACUUUUCAUUUAACCCAUAAUGUUAUUUGAAUAUUUAUAUUUUCCAUUACAGCUUUGGAUCUGAUUGGCAACAAAGAAGUGAGCACAAUUCUUGGGGCAUUUACUUUGCAAGAAAUGCAAUUAAUGUCCGAAAUUAACAAAAACUUCAUUGAUAUUUCCAUAAUAUCCCUACCAAUUGCUGCUUCUCUUCCUCCUCAUAAUAAUAAUAAUCCACUCCCACUUCCUUCCUUUAUUCGAAUGGCUCACAACAUCACAUUUCACAUCCAAUGCACAGCCGCCAUUGUCGCCCAUUUCCAAUGGCAUAAAGUUACUCUCAUCUAUGACAAUACAGACGACAUGUCCUUCAACAUGGAAGCUUUGACUCUCCUCUCCAACCAACUUGGAGAUUUCAAUAUAGAGAUUGACCAAAUCUCAUCCUUCUCUUCUUCAUAUUCAGAAUCUAUGAUUGAGGAAAAGCUCAAAAGCCUUGUGGGCCGUGAGAGGAACCAGGUUUUCAUUUUGGUGCAAUUUUCUAUCGAAUUGGCCAAACUCCUUUUUCACAAAGCAAAUAAAAUGAAUAUGAUGGAAAAUGGAUUUGUUUGGAUCGUUGGAGAUGAGAUAUCAAGUCAUCUUGAUUCUUUGGAUUCAUCAACUUUUAAUGACAUGCAAGGUGUCAUUGGUUUUAGAACUUAUUUUGAUCAUAACAAAAAUUCUUUCAAGAAAUUUAGAAGCAAAUUCCAUAGAAAGUAUGUUUUGGAAUAUCAUGAAAAUGAAGAGGAGGAGAUGAAAAAUACGGAGCCCACCAUCUUUGCUCUUAGAGCUUACGAUGCAGGAUGGGCUGUGGCACUUGCGAUGCAUAAAUUGCAAGCAAAUUUUAGCAACAAACAAUUGUUGAAGGAAAUUUUAAGGAGUAAAUUUGAAGGGCUUAGUGGGAAAAUAGGAUUCAAGAAUGGUGUCUUAAUGGAACCACCCACUUUUGAAAUUAUUUAUGUGGUGGGUAAGAGUUACAAAGAGAUAGGAUUUUGGAGAGAAAAGGUUGGAUUUUUCAUCAAUUUGAAUGAAAAUAAUGAUCAAGAAAUCAGUAGUAGCAUUAUUAUUGAUGAAGGAAGAAGUAGAAGUGAUAAUAAUAAUAAUAAUAAUAAUAAUAAUAAUAAUAAUAAUGUUGUUUUGAAAUUACCAAGAUUUGUUUUGUGGGAAGUAAAUUAUGCAGAAACAGGAGUAGUGAAAGGAAGGACGAUUAAUAUUGAUAAUUCAAAUUCCGGAGGAAUGGGAAGGACAUUAAGAAUUGGUAUUCCGGCCAACAAUACAUUCCGAGAAUUUGUUAAAGUUUCUUACGACCACAUAAAUGCAAUAUACAUUUCUGGAUUUUCCAUUAGUGUAUUUGAAGCUGUCGUAAAGAAUCUGCCUUAUUCAUUGCCGUAUCAGUUGAUCCCAAUCAAUGGUUCUUAUGAUGGAUUGGUAAAGCAAGUCUACACAAGGGUAAGUACGAUAUAGAUAAUAUAUAUAUAUAUAUAUUGGAUUAUUGCAUGUGAUUCUUGCAUCUAUUCAUUGUAUCCUUCUUUGUAUAUAUAACAAAAAAGGUGAUGUAUUUAUAUGAACAAAUUAUAUAUAUGGUGGUUUUUAUUAGGGUCUGGAUGCCGCGGUGGGAGAUAUCGGAAUAUUUGCGGACCGAUUUAAAUAUGUUGAUUUCACAGAGCCAUAUAUGAUGGGUGGGCUUGUGAUGAUAGUGAAAGAGAAGACAAGAAAUUGGAAAGAAAUAUGGAUAUUCAUGAAAACAUUUACAACACUAAUGUGGAUCAUUUUGCCAAUCUUCCAUCUUGUUAUAAUGUCUGUUGUUUGGAUUGUUAAGGAUCCAAAGGAUGGAGAAUUAUCAGGAGUUUCAGAAAUGAUAUGGUUUGCCGUAACUGUCAUCUUUUUUGCUCACAGUAAGAAUUUUAAAGUCAUGUUUGAUAAUCAUUUUAGUGUCUUUUCACUUCUCAUUUUAGAAAACAAAUUUUUAUGAGUGGAUGCAGGAAAAGAAGUGAAAGGUAAUUUAGCAAGGUUGGUGUUGGGGACAUGGUUGUUUGUAAUUCUUGUGGUAACUUCAAGUUUUACUGCAAGUCUUACAUCUAUGAUGACGGUUUCAAGAUUUGCACCAUCCGUUGUUGAUGUUGAAACAUUAAGGCAAAUGAAUGCAACAGUGGGGUGCAACUAUCAUUCUUUCAUUCCGAGAUAUUUGAAUGAUACAUUGAAAAUUCCACGUAUAAAUAUUAAGAACUUUGUUGGGAUUGACGAUUAUCCAAAGGCAUUUGACAAUGGAGAAAUUGAAGCAGCUUUCUUCAUCACUCCACAUGCUAAGGUCUUUCUUGCUAGGUACUGCAAAGGCUACAUCACUGCAGCUACUUUCAAUCUCGGUGGCAUUGGUUUUGUAAGUUCUCAACUAAUAAUCUACUUCCAGAUGUUUUGCAGUUUUUAGAUUUAAGUUUUGUUUCGAUUUGUUUUACAAGAUUUCAAGAUUUAUACUUUUAAUAAGUUUGAUUUUCUCACUGAAAUACUCCUGGUAUGAAUUAAACCCAAAACUUUAAAAAUCAGAAGGAUUUAAAAAAAAAUAGUUAAAGGUGCUAUCUGAGCUGCAUAUAUUUUUUGUGCGAGCAGCUUAACCAGUUAUAAUAUGUCAUGUAGCCAAAAAAAUCUUUUAAAAAAAUUUAAUUGACUUUUUUUUUCGUUUGUUGGGAUAAAAUAUGAGCUACAAGCUGCACUUAACCAUUGUUUUCUUUUCUUUUAUGAUGUGGAUAGAAAGACACGGUAGUCUAGCACUACACUUGGUAUUUGGUAAUAAUAGGAAAUUUUGUUAUAUGUUGCAGGCUUUUCGGAAAGGGUCAAGUCUAGCAGUGGAUGUAUCGACAUCCAUCGUGGAACUUAUAGAGAGAAGAGAGAUGCCACAGUUAGAAACAAUGUUGUUGUCAACCUUCAAUUGUUCUUCAGGGAGCCAAGUUGAUGGGUCUACAAGUUUGGGGCCUUGGCCUUUCGCAGGUUUAUUCAUCAUUUCAGCAAGUGUUGCUGCUGGAUCACUUCUAUAUUUUUGUAUAUGCGGACCAAAUCACGAUAACAAAGACAAUAAUGCAGCAGCUGGAGAAGUCCACAAUGGCAAUAACAAUGCAGCUGGACAGGAACCCAUGGCCAAUGGCAAUAACAAUGCAGCUGGACAAUUCCAACCCAGGGCCAAUCGCAAUGAUUAAGAAUUAUCAUUUUUGUAUUUUAUUUUGUUUUGAAUAAUUCUUUUUCUCUUAUUUCGUAUCGGUAUAUCGUUGUAAUUUUUAAACUUCAAUCAUAUAAGUUUAUAUACUAUGUAGUCUCUAACUUUGGAUAUAAAACCUCUAUACUCUGCCAUCUCGAAAUCUUCAUUGAUUUACUAAACAAACAUCGAUCUCUCCACAAUGAGAAUACAUUUUUUUGUUUUACUUGACCAACAUAUAUUUACAUGCAGGAUAGAAUAUUGGUAUAAAACUAGUUCAUAAAUCUUUUCCAGAUUUGACAUUCUUUCGAGAUUGUUAUUUAAUAUUUGGAAAGACGACUUUUCAUGUAACAUCCUUUUUACUUAUUUUUCAUGGUAGGUGUACAACAAAAACCUUAAAAAUUGAAAAGCUAAACACACCAAACCAAAUAGAUUUAUUGGAAAAACAAUUAAGAUAUAUUAGUGCACCUCCUGAUCUUGUUCUCCUGCUUGUUACUUAACCUAUCAGUGCACCAAGACUAAUCUCUCAUAUAUUCAAAAAAAAAAAAAAAAGAACAGAACAAUGAGGUUGGGAAAAAGGCUCAAAAUCAAGAACCAAACCAACAAUAAACCCAACUUAAUAACAAUUUGAUCCAUUUUUUUCACUUGCUGGACAUCGGUUUUGGUUCCUUUUCUACAUAAAACCAAUUUGUUUUGUUUUGUUUUUUGGUUGGACUCAAAAUCCAGAAAAUCGAACCUACCUGAUAUUGCUUACUGAGUAUAGUUAGUUGUAGACUCAUUUAAUACUCCAAAGAUUUUGGGUUCUCCCAACUAUCUUUCUAAUAUAAUGUAUAUAUAUCCAUCAAGAUGGAAGUGUGUCUCUUUCAAUUCAUCUCAUUCUUGAAUUAGAGUUUUUUAUUGAACAAGUGAAUAUUAUGUUUAGAUUUCUUAAACUUUGAUAUCAAAUUUAUCUAAGUACGAAUUAGUUCGAUCAAAGACAAACAUCUUUAUUAAUUCGUCAUGUAAAUAUUUAUGAAUAUGGAAAGAUUUAUAUUAGAAGACGAUAACAUGACAAAUACACACAACAAUAAACCAAAGAGAGGAGCAAUAUAUAUAUAUAUAUAGUAAGAGUUGAUCAUGCGUCCUCCAAGAACAAACUCUUUAUUCUAGUUUUUCUUAAUGAGUACGUACUAGAUAUAUAAUAUGAUGAUAACAUAGAAAAGUACAUAAAUUUUACAACUUCUUCAUUUCUUGGUCUUGUUGAUUACUCUGUCAGCAUACUCAAGAACUUUAUCAAGUUCAUCCAAACAAAUAAAGCCAUCUCCAUUAGCAUCAGCCAAAUUCAAAGCAUAGUUAGCUUUGCUAAAUGAAUUGAAGGAACCACACAUGUUAAAAGCUUUUACUAGCUCACUUCUAGUGAGAUAACCAUCACCAUCAAUAUCAUGCUCUAAGAAAAUCUCCCUCAUUUCAUCUUUACUAAGCCUCAUCUUGUACGGCCCACAGGACGCCUUCUCAUCAGGAAUAUUAACCUUAGGUUCAACUUUUUGAGGCUUAAUUUGUUGGUGAUGGUGAGAAGCAGCUUGCUCAAUGAUCAAAGCAGUUAGCUCAUCUUUGGUCAGGAUUGAAUCACCAUUCUUGUCAUACUUUUUUAUCAAAUUACUUGCUUCUUGUUCACUCAUGUAAUUACCUUGGGCUGGGACAGGCUGAUCCUUAAGAGGAUUUGUAGACAUUGUUGAAAACUAUGUGGGUUGUGUUUUGGGAUUUGAUGUGGAGUUUGGAGGUGAUAGAAUUAAAUUAAUGUCUUGAAAGGAUUAACACACUUUAUAUAUACUAACUUUAGAAGCAUAAGUAUUUUUUUUUUCAUGUACAAAUUGGAAUCUUAUUCCUAAUUUCCUCUACUCCAAAAACAAAAGAUUAAAAAAAAAAGAACUUAUUCCUUACCUAAUAAAUCUCUUUAUUCAUUAAGAUAUAUAUAAAGUUCCUUUUUUUAAAAAAAAAAUUAUGGUUAGCAAAGGAAAAUUAUGGUUUAUAUAUAUAUUUUGCAUGUGGAAUGAAAUAAGAUUCUAAAAAGGAAGAUAUUCACAGCUAAUUAGCAAAAUAAACAAAAUAAGAAUAAAAUAUAGAAUCUCUUUGUCACGGUCAAAUAAGAUUUUUUUAGUACAACAGUAGUUAUUAAAUGGUAAUUAAACCUUCAAUAUCUUUGACUUUAACAAAGAUACUACAACAAGUUUUUAGGGCAAUUUUUAGAAAAAGAUACGUUGGAUUAGUAGUGCACCUGGAACAUCUACACUAGGUGGAUACCCCUUAGCACCCUCAUCAUUCCCGCUUCAUUAAAUAAUCGUCAGAUCAGAACAAGAGGCAGAAAAGUAACAAGGGCUAGAGAAAAACCCAGUAGUUAUUAUACAAAAGCAUUCAAGUUUAAAGCAAUAGUGCUAGUGCUAUAAUUUUUAUAGAAAUAAGAUCUACUAGUCUAUAAAUGUGUGAGAUCUUUGACAUUUUUCCAAAUCUCCCGAGUAGUUCUAUCUUUGUUCUGGAAGAUCCUGUUGUUUCUCUCUCCAACUAGAUGAUACAUAACGCAGCAGCAAUCAAAUUGAAAAUGAUGAUGCCUUUUUUGCUUUUUUUCAUUUGUGUUGCAUAUGUUUUGAAAGCAAUAGUCCCGAGUAGUUUCGAUGGCAAUUUAGAACUGCUAUCAAAGUUCGUUUUGUCAUCUUACUCUAUAUUGACAUGCAAUUUCAAUUUACAGUACGUGUCAUCACAAAUAUAUGAUGUUAGUACAAAACUGAUAUAUAAAUCUAAAAUUGUUGUACUAAGACAAUGCCAUUUUUUUCAAUACCAUAAUUAUGGAAACAUGAAUCGAACCUUCCGUCUCUAAAAUAGAAAGUAGUUUUGAUUACCAUUGAAUUAAUUAAGUUCAUGUUGACUCAUGUUAAUUACUCUUAAAACAAAUUUUAAAAAUAAUUGAAAGAAGGUUAAGGAAAUAGGAAAUAAAAAACGCCAACCUUAUUUUGGUUUCUUGUUUCUCAUAACUUCUGUUUCUAUUUUUGUUUCUAUUGUUACCAUUUUGCAUUUGGCAAUUUUAUUUUCAUGUUUUUUUCUUUUUCAUAAAAAAAAAAAUUAAUGAAACAAUUGUUUUAUAUCAAAUUUGUUUCUUAGUUCUCUAAAAAAUUUGUUUAGAAAAAGUAAGAGUUAACUUUUAAAAUUAAAUAACUUUAUUAUUGUUAUAUUUGUUUAUUUGUAAUACUUGUAUUUAUUUCAUAAAAGAGCAUCCUAUUUCCUGAAGAGAGUUAACUUUACUACCAACCUAACUUUUGAUAUUUCAGAAUUUCUCCAAUUUAUUAAUCAUCAUUAUCUUUUGAGUGAAAUGAUAUGAUGUACCUCUUGGAAGAUCAAGAUGGAGAGUAAAAUUAUAAGACUAAAAAAUAUUAUUUUCUAAAAACAAUAAAUUACCAUAUGGUGAUUAGUUUUAAUUGAUACGUAUAGUAGAUGGAUAAAGCGUUGCACAUAAAUGUUUUCAAAUUAUAAUAUUACAUACUUAGGGUAAUAAAUCUCAAAACAACCAUAUAUUUAAUUUAAUUUUUCUUUUCAUUUUUGACAAUUUCCUAUUUAUUUUAAAAUAACAAAAAAUAAUAUUCGUAAAACAAAGGCUGCACUUGUACUUGGCUGAUGUAGAAUAAUUGUCUUCUAAAUCUGAAAGCAAUGAUGAAAGCAAAUAAUUCUCUCUAAAGAUUCUUGAGUUCGUUUUAAAAAUUAAAUGUAUCUAGAAAUUCCAACUUUAACUAAUAAUCCUACUCUUUAUUACUAUUAUUAUUUACAACUUUAAGGCUAAUGUUAAGGACAGAUCUUUUAACCCCCCUGAUGCCAAGCUAAUUUUUAGAAACUAAUAGGAGAAAAAAAAAAUGAUAUGCAAACAUUGGAACAUGCAGGACAUGAACUUUUACUUGAUAUAUCUGUUAAAUAAUUAAAGAAUCAACCCAAAUGUUUAAGUUAAUGAACUAUGGUACAUUUUAAUUAUCUCAUUUAUAACAAAAAAAAAAUUACUUGUAUAUGUGUCUAUAUCACUAGACUAAUAGAUGAUAUAAAGUGGGGAAAUUAUGUAAAAAUAUUUGAAUAAGAAAUAUUUCUAUAUUUCCAAAUGCAUAACGUUAUUUCCCUCUAUUUUAGCAAUUAAUUGGAGUUGUUUUGUAAUAAAUACAAGCUAUGUAAUAUGAAGGUAAGAUCUUGCUAACUAUCGAGUUUGGAAGAUUAAUUUUAGUGUAACAUGACAACAAAGAUCAAAAAGGUAAUUCAAAUAAAAAGAUAAAGAGGAAUAUAUAAAAUAUGAUAUAGACUUGGUUAGAAUAAGAUUCUCUCUGUCUUACUCAUUUUAGUAAAAUGGAUGUAGAAUACGGUUCUUUUAUUAUAUUGUUAUUAUAUUGUUGAAAAUUAGAAUUAGAUUCUUUUUAUCUUAUAAUAAUAAUAAUGAAAUAUUACAAACUUUGUUAUUUUUAACUCCGAAGCAACUUUUCUUUUUACCUCACAAAAUAAUACCCAUAUCUUUUAGGUUCCAUACAAAUAUUAUCUACACAAUACAUCAUCUGAAUUUAUUUAUUUAUGAUGUAAUGUAUGUGCGUUACUUUUUGGUCUAGAAAAAUGAUGAAGAUGUUAAAGUUACAUAAAUAGCAAAUUAAAAUGUUGAAAUUAUAUUUAGCAAAAUUCAUCUAACUUUCUCUAAUUCAUUUAAAAUUUUUGUUAUGAUUUAUAAAUAGUUUCAUUUCUUGAUGCUAUUCCUAACAAUUUUUCCUUUAUAUAAUAUAUAAAAUUAUGCAUUAUAUUGUAAUUUUGGGGUAAGGUAUUUUGUUUAUUUUAACAAAAACAUUGCUGUUGCAGGGGUCGUACUUGGGCAAGGGUUUUGAAAACGAUGAUAGGUUGAAUUUUGAGAUUUAUGCCUAAUUUUUAUAAUUUUCUGUAAAAAGCAAUGUUAAAUAUAUAUAUAUAUAUAUAUAUUAUCAUAACUCUCCCAUAAAAUAUUUAGCUUAAAAUUUAUUUAGAGGACAUACAAUUAAAAUAAUUUUAUAGGUUAAUUACUCAUUUAAAACCAUAAAUUAAAUAAACCAUCCAUGGGCGGAUAUAUGUGUACAAUAACUUUCAAAUACAAGAUUAAUUGUUUUGAUCAUGUUCAUUGAUUGGAUUUCUAUUUUGUGUGAUUUGUGAAUUUAUGCUAUUGUCAAUUCAAAGUAUUUGUAGUGUGUGAGUGGAUAGCUUUUAUCCACAUUACACAGAUUCUAGAUUUUUCGACUGAAUUUAUGCUACUCUAUAUAUAUAUAGUCACAAAAACAGAAAGAAGAAAGAAACGUCACUUUUUUAAAAAAAGAGAUUUGUCACGUACGUGACUGUUGGACACUUGGGUAAUUGCAUAAACAUAUCUCUACAAAGCUAAUAUUGCAACGCAGAGCAAUCAACAUCCUCUUUUGAAAGCUUUCUCAAAAUAAAAGAGUUUUAGAAUUACAUAAAUUAUUAUAUUGAAGACGUGAUUCGUUACCUAAUUUAAAAGACAAGUACUGAUCUACAUUUCAUGCUUUAUAUGUAAUCUGAGAAUGUUGAUAUUUUAGAAAUUUUUUGUUAAUUUUUAGAACAGACUCUCUUGUCAGUAUGAUCUAUUUUUUUAUAAAUUUAACAAGGAAUUAAGAAACCCUCUUUGAUUAACAAAACCACAACACUAAAGGAGAAGAAAUUAGAAAGAUCUUACAAUAAGUGGCAAACAAAAUCUUAUUGUAGAUAGCUCUUUCCAUCAUCUUGUUGAUUGAAGACCCUUGGUGUCAAGAAUAAAAAAUUUCAGCUCUAACAAACCAGAAUGGAUGCUCAAACGGCAUCGCUAGACAGAAGUGGGUUUUCUUUCCAAUUUCUCACUUUGGUGACGUUUGAAUUCUCUUGAUCCGCUGCUGCUGCUGCUGCAAGAUUAUUUACAAAAAUAACCUAAUUGAAACUAUCCAUACAAAACUAAUUGAAACUAAGCCAAUAUAUAUAUCUCGUGAACGAAAUUAAAACUCGAAAUAAAAAGAGAAAAGAAGAGAGAAAUGUACAAAGUUUAAUUGAUUGGAUUUUGGAUACCUUACCCAACACAGAAUAGUGCUUAAACAAAAGGGAAAGAGAGAAGUAAUGAUCAUGUGGAAAAGUUUUUCUUUUUCUUUUUUUGGAGUACUACUCAUUUUAAUAUAUAUGUAAAUUAAAGAGAACAAAAUGACGAGAUUUUCUUUACUUCUAAUAGAAAAAAUAUUGUAUAUUGUGUAGCCUUUGCUGCAUCGGAUUAAAAACUAUCACGUAGCACUUUAUAUUAUUUUUAAAAAAUUAUUAAAAUACUGAUUUUUUUUCUAUGUAGAAAAAAUAUUGAUGGAUAGACUUAAAGUUCAAUCCCUAUAUAAAAUGAUGUUUUAGUGGCGAUAUAUGCUUAAGUAUUGAAAUAUCAUCAUUAUCAAUACAUCUAAACUAAGUACUUUGAAAAAAUCCAUUAUCAUUAAAAUGAUAAAUAAUGAAAAUUGGUAACAACUUAUGCAGAUAAAAAUUGACACAAUACAUGCAUAACAUAUAAUUUACCAAGUAUUCAUGCAUACAAUUAAUGAAAGGAGAAUAUAUAUAUAUAUAUAUAUAUAUAUUAUGUUAACGAUGUUUUUUUAACAAAAUACUGGAGGAAGAAGGAUUUGUGGGUGCACUGUAUCUCUAAUUUGAGUGCUUAUAGAAAAAGUGAUUUGAGUUGAAAACUCUUUUUCCCUUACAAAGAAAUCAACAAUAUAAUAUCAUGUUAAAAGUUUCUACUAGUGUUCUAAUCAACAUGAAACAUAUUAAUUAGUUUAUACCAAUAGUUCAAACUGACCCAUAAUAUGUGCUAACAAUCAAGAAGACUAUAAUUUGAUUCUCCUACCUCUGUUUUACUAAGAAGAAAGUUAAAAGUUUAAUUCAAAAAAUAAAGGAAUGGCAAUAUCUUGGCUUAACUUUUUUUUUUUUUUUUUUUUGAGAAAGAUACUUUGGGAUACCAGUAGAACAUCUCUACUAGGUGGACAUUCCUAAACACUCACGUCAAACUCGCUUCAUUAAAAAUAAAGAGAUGAAUACAAGAAGCAGGAGAUACAAAAAGGGCUAGACGGAAGCCCUAUGAACCCAAACAACUAAAAAACGUUUAAGUUUAAAGCAAUAGAACUGGUCGAGUAAUUUUUGAAAAGAGGAGAACGACUUGUCUAGAGACCAGUUGUAGCUCGAAUGUCCUUCCACACAGAGCCAACUAGUUUUUCUUCCCCCUUGAAAAUCUUUUUGUUUCUUUCAUUCCAUAUAUUUUAAAGGGUGGCAGCCACUAAGUGCAGUUUGAUAGUUUGUUUUUUUUUGUUUUACCCUUUGUUUUGUAGAUUUCUUUGCACAGAUAAGUGGAAUUUGAUGGAGAUAGGAGUCGCCCAAGAUAACUUCAACUUUUUUCCAGAGCUUUGAAGAGAAGGGACAAAGGGAGAACAAAUGGUUUCUGUCUUCCUCGGCAGCUUUGCCAAGAAUUCACCAAGAGGGUUUUAUAUUUCAAGUUGGAGUCUUCUUUUAAGCAUACCCAUGAUAUUAAUACACUCAUAAAGGAGAGUCCAUAAACAAGAAUUUACACCUUUUGGGAUGGAUGAUUUUCAUACAAUUGCUAUAAAUUACCCAAUCAUUAUAGUUAACUUCUGCUUGGUUGUUGAGAGGUCUCUCAAGAUGGCCUAUCUCACUGUAUGAAAAGUUUUGCCCAAAUUGUAAUUUAGCUCGAUUUGAUCAAUAUCUAAUUGUUAAUGUUUAUUAGUAAUUAAUUAAGUAAUAACUUUUAGCUUGCUUUUAAUGUAACGAUUGUUUAAAUAAGAUUAGCCUAAAACCCACAUAUUAACUAAUAAUAGAUAUUAGAAGCCUUUUCCAUUUCGCAACAAGAUUACAUAAACACAAGAAGGACCAACUUGCUCAAGCCCAGCCCUUCCUUCCUUUAUUAGUGAAAGUCAAAAGCUUAGGAAACAAAAACAUAAAAUCAUAGGGUGUUGCCAAUUUUAAUUUCUAUCAACGCCUUCUUUUCUGAAACCUUUCGGCAUAAUCGAUGAGUUUGUCAAGCUCGUCUUCUGAGAUGAGGCCGUCACCAUUCUCAUCACAAUAAGCCAUGCCGUAGUGAGCUUUGUAGAAUGGUAUAGAGUGACCCAAGAACCCCAUGGCUUUGAUGAGCUCACUGAUGCUGAGGUAACCGUCUCCGUCGAUGUCGUGCUCACGGAAGAUUUCCUUCAUCUCUUCCCUUGAGAAAUUGAACUUGCUUACACCAGGAAGAGCCAUUUCUUUUGUGGGAAAAAGGAUAUAGCUUCGUGUUUGUUUAUUGCGUUUGGGGUUGUGAGUUUUGAGUGUGUGUGUUUUGGGGUAUUUAUGGAUGUACAAACAAAGGCUUUAUUCUUAUUAUAUCUUAUGAUAUGAUGGUCCCAUUAUAUUCUUACCUUAUGACAACAGUCACAUAUUCCACCUCAAAAACUUGCAUCUGGUCACCUUUCACUCAUUAUUUAAUUUUAUGGUUAACUAAUAAUCUUUUAUCUAGAUAUUAACAAGAGGGGAAUCAAGAAAUGCAUCCAAACAUCUCUAUUGGGUUAAUCAAGAAAUGCGUCUAAACAUCUCUAUUCGGUUAAUGUACCUAUUUUAGUUUUCAGGCUUAAAAUAACUUGUUACCUAAAAUGUCAAUAAAUGUACAAAAUAAUUUGUAUUUGUAUUGUUAGUAUUACUUGAUUGUAACACUUAACUUAUUGUUAUUUUUCUGAAAAACAAAAGUAGGUCAAAAUUUUGUUGACACGUUGAAUUCUGUGUAUGCUUUUUCAUGAAAACUCUAUUGAAAGCUUCUUUUUAAAAAAGAAAAAAGAAAAUCUAAGAUUUAUCCAUUUAGACAUUUAAAAGUAUAUAAUCUUAUAAUAAAUUAAAAGAAAAACUAAAAUAAUAUUUUAACAAAAUUUAUAUAUUUUUAAAAAAAACACGUACAAGUGAUACAUCGUCCAAAUAUCUUCACUAAGUAGACAUCUUCUUAGCAUCUUCAUUUGAUAUGUAUAAAAAAAAGUAAAACGACGACAAAAUAUGAGUUAGAGAUAAGUGCAUUAAAUAAAGAAAAUCAAUAACUAGUGAUGUUAAAAUUAAGUUUAUUUAGUUAAAAUAAUGUAACAUUUUUAUUUAUAGGCAUUUGAAGAACUUUCCUAUAUUUCUUUUACUCCCUGCUCUUGAAAAGAAAGAAUUCAAACUUUAAAUAAAAACCAUAUCAUUUUCCAUCAUUAACUUCCUAUUUUUUAAUUAUUAUUUUUAAAUAGAGCAAAAUAAAAAUUAUAAUAAAAUGUAUCUAUACGUGUCCUUAUCACCAACAAAUGGUAAAAUUUUAUUGUAUUUGUAAUUAUUUUCAACAAUUAUAUUAUUUAAAAUCAUUAUUCUUUUUGAAUUGAAAACUAAAGUAUUGAUUAAAUUUAUUGUAAUAUAUCAGCAACUUUUGAGGUCAUUGUUUCAUCUUUGAUCUCUCUCUAUGGAAGACCUAAAUUUGGUUCAAUUCAAAAUGAUUCUAUCAUUGAUCAUCUGUUCUUCUUUUUCUUCUAAAAAAGGCAUACAACAGUGUGUGAUGACGAAGGACCAAAAUUUAUGCAUACAAUACAGUGUAUAUAUACAUAUAUAGUAUGGGGUUAUUCUAGAAGAAAAAGAGAAUAUAAGUCUUUUUGUUGUGGCAGAAAUUUGGAAUCUGCAUGGGAUGAAAAAGGGCAUCUGCUUCUAUUUAUAUUAUAUAAUAUUCUUUGAAAUGACAAUAAUGGAGGGAAGCAUAAAUUUACAAUACCUCUCAUAAACAUCAAAUAAUUUAUAAUGGGACUCCCAUCUAAUACUUAGGGAAAGGGAAAAUAUUUCUUUACAAAUUAAAAAGCAUUCAUGCAGUUUUGAAAAAUGCAGAUCAAACGGAGGAAGUGCACUUUCUCAAUCUUUCUCUAUUUGCUAUAUUUGAAAAUAUGUUUUUAAAAAAAUUCAUUUAAAACAAUUACUCUAGAAAAAGGUUAUUGUUAGACUGAUGCUUUUGUAUCGAUAGAUUAUCUGUUAGAGUAUUUAAUAAAUAAUAUUGAUAUAAUUACAUUUUGGUAUUAGGUUAAUUAGUGUUAGUUUAAUUUAGGUAAUAUAGCCUAUCCGAGAUCUUAGUUUAUCUAAGCUUAUAUCAUUGUUGUAAUUGUUAUUUUAGAAACCCUAAUGAAGUUUUUCUAUCUCUCGCUCACUAUACUGUCUUUGUCCCUCUAAAAUUCUAGAGUUUUCAUGGCAUCAGAGUCCAAAAUUUUCUAAAACUCAAAACUCUCCCUUUUUUUCUUUGAAGUCGUCAUAGGCUGCAUGUAACAAGAAACUUAAAACUUAAAACCCUCCCUCUACCCAAACUCUCAAAUCACAUCACAGUAGUCUAUCUUCGGAUCUUUCUUCCACCCUUUUUGAAGAAUUGUUAUUUUUAACCUAACAAAGCUUUUACCUUAUCAGGCUAACUUCAUUUUUUAAAACUAAUUUUUUUCAGAAAAAGGAGUUUUUUCAAAAAUAGAAAAAUUUGUAUAUACACUCUAUAAAACAAAACUGCUAAAAGACACACACAAAAAAAAAAAAAUGUAUACUCAAAGUUCUAUAUUUUAUAAUUUCACUUUGAAAAUAUCAAUUUGUCCCUGUUAUAUUGUAAGUAAUUUCUAUUUCACAUUUUUCUAUUACCACUUUCCAAACCCAAUUUCAAAUUUGAAACUUACUAAUUUUUCUUUUGUUGGGCUUUCUUGUAAGGAUAGAAAAAUUAAUGGUAAAAAAAAGUUCUUACGUGGAAUUUCCCUUAAGAUUUGAAAAUUUUGGGAAAAUUUCAUAAAUUCCAACGCUAAACUAUGAACAGUAAAUUUAAAAAAUUGAAAACUUAAAAGAAAACUAUCCUCUUUAAAAAUAAAAAAUAAAAGCCUUAAAUUUAAGUUUAAAACAAUCACUAACUUAAUCUUACUGAGAAAAAUUGAAAUAAAAUUAAAAUAAAGCUUAUGAAAUUGGAAAUUGUUAUUUUAAAAAAAAUGGUAGAAUUAUUAUUUUUUAAGAAAACAUAAAUUUGCAAAUCAAGUGGACAGAUUUGGAAAAGAUACACUGUAGAAUCUACAGCUCGCUAUGUAACGUUAUUGUUCUUGAUCAUAAACAACACAACAAUUCUCGAUCGUCUUCGCUCAAGUUUUGCUUAUAAUAAAAUUAGUCAACCACGCUGUAGUAGCAAAUUUGUUGAUAUCAUAUAUCACUUUACAGUUGAUUUUGUUGUGAUUGGAUAAAAUUUCAUUGCAAGUACAUGUAAAAAUGGCGUAGCAGCAUAGGUUCAGUAAUACUACUCCUUUUUUAUUAUAUAUAAAAUUGAAUGACCCCAUUUUAUAUCUACGUUUGCAUAUUCUUACAUAAGAUCGAAUCCCUAAUGAUCUUCAAAUUUCAAUCCAGAAACCAUCCUUUGUAUUAUGUGAUAAUCAAGAAGCAGCUGUUCAUAUAGCCUCCAACUCAAUCUUCCAUCAAAACUUUGUAAAUUUUAAUAUAUGGGAGAUUAUUUAUAGAUUUCAGGAAAUAUGUAUAAUAUAAAUAAGUUUACGAGUGGAAUUUGUUAACAGAAAAGGGAAAAACAGUAUUGAGGAAAUUUUAAAAACAUUUUUUUCAUUUUUCUUGCAAAGUUUGAGGAGAAACUUCUAUACAUUGUUUCUUUUGUAUUAUUGAUGUUUGGUGCAUGUGAAACAUAUUUUUACCAAUAUAAAGUAUGUGAGGUUCUAAUUUUGUAAAUAUAUACUAAGAAUGUUAACAAUUUUACAAUAAGAGAGUUAUGUUCCAUUAACAUGUGAAAAAGAAAUGAGGUUAAAAAGUCAAACCAAAGUUCCUUUUUGAGCUACUAUAAAAUACUUGAACCAUGUUACGUUUUGUUUCAUCUUCAAACAAUCCAAUCAAACAAACAUAUAUAUAAUUUUAGUUUAAGAAUGUCUGUCUCUCAUCUUCAAGCUUGGGCUAAGAAUGAAGCAAAUGAGUUGAUAAAGAAGUAUGAUAGAAAUGGUGAUGGUGUUCUCACUAAAGAAGAGCUACAAUCUUUCCUUCGUGAUGCUCGUGGUUCAACUCAACUCAAUAAUAUAAGGAAUGUAUCGUCUAGCACAGUCCCAAAAACUAACGAAAAUCUUGCACAGAAGGUUAGCUCAAAUACUUGCAUAACACCAAAAAAGCAGUUGUUGGAUAAAGCUCAAGGUUCGUCGAAACAAUCUAAUGUACCUUUGAGUCGAGAGCAGAUAAAAGAGAUUUUUAAAUAUCAUGACAGCAACAAAGAUGGUUUUCUCAGCAUACGGGAGUUAACAAAAGCUUUCAGCUCUAUGGGAUCAAUUGUCCCAUUUUGCAAAGCUCGAUAUGCUAUGGCUUAUGCUGAUGUCGAUGAAGACGGUCUUGUCAGUGAGGCCGAGCUUGACAAACUCAUUGAUUAUGCCCAUAAAAUCAUCAAGAAGAAAUGAGCUUUCAAGGAUAAUUCUGUGUGUUCUACAUAGAGAAUUAUGUAACUAGAAGUAAAAUAUUAAAAAUAUUAAAAAUAAUUAAAAUAAUUAUUUAAAAUUAAAAUAUCAUAUGUUGGAAUUUUAUUUUUGUUGCAAAAAGCAUUGUAAUUAAAGCUUCUCAUUAUUAAUAAAAUAAAAGAGAUGUAUGUUGGAAUUAAAAAUCUUAAUCUGUUAUCGUUAAGUGUUAAUAUUAAUCUCUCUCUCUUUGUUAAUGAUUAACAAACACAUUAUGAUAAAUAUGGCCUUAAUCUAUGAACAUAAGCUCAAAAUAUUGAACCAAAAUUUAAAAUUUGAUAACUCUUCCCAAUUGAAUUCAUAGUUUAUUUUUUAUUAUAUGUAGAAUGCACUCACAAUAUGAUAUAUUACAUAUUUUUGGAUUUAGGCUGCCCUGUUUUUAAGUUUUAAUUUUUUAGAGUUAGAGGCUGGUUGAGUGGAUGUAAUUUACCUUGUUGUAAUUACUUCUUUUUUUUUCAAUGAAGAUUUGAUUCUCUUUCAACUUGUCUACAACACUAAAUAGGAAAUAGGAUAUAGAAAGGAUUUCAAACUUAUACAUGCAUGAAGCAGAACCUUUUAACAUUUAAAACAUGAUACUUUCCAAAUACUACGUGUAUAUUUCAUAUAAAAUCAUAACUACGUAUAACCAUUAUUCCAAUAUAAAACUGUAAAAAAUUGACCCUUUAAUCUCAAGAAAAGAAAUAGUCAAUUAAUGUUAAAUAGUAUUUAUUUUGACACAAUAUCUCUUUUCUACUUUAAUUGAAAUGACAAAUAUAUUCUAACAAACGUAAAUAAUGACUUCUAAUUUGUUCAAGUAUAUACAGACGUGUGUAUACAUGUGUAAAUAUGUGUGGGUGGGUGUAUAGAAAGAAAGAAGAAAAUCUCCAUCAAAUGUAUACAUUUAAAUAAUAAUAAUAAAAGAAAUAAACUUAAUUAUUGAGGAAUUCAGCCAUGUUCGUGGUGUAAGGAAAUUCCUUCAGAAAGGUAUUAAGGCAAAUGUACCAGCAUUUAAUUUGUACAUAACAAGGGAACAGAAGAUGGGAAUUUAUUCACAUUUCAAGGAAUUUUCCUCACUUUCUUCCUCAAGGGAAAUAAAUACAUAUCUUAUAGAACUUAGUUAUUGACCUAUGAAUUUAAACUACAUAUAUACUUACAGAACCUAAACUCUUGGUGGAUGAAAACACCAGACUGUACAAUAAUAUACUAUGUCCAGUAUGUAACAAAAAUUUCAACUUAGCAGAUAGCAGCAUGAAAUAUGAACUGAUUCUGCCGAUGAAUUUUGAUGGGAAUUAAUGUGGGCAAUCAGCAAUUGAUCCAGGAGUUUAAUAAUCUCUAUCAAUGAAUUUAGCAAGAAAAUCCACCUGGAUCGGAGCAAGUUACACCAACAAGAUUGUUGGAGAAUAUCAGAGAAAUGCUAAAAUUUCAGCAGAUGACAUAACAUAGGAAUUUGUAAAUCAGAAUCUACUAACCGAGCACAUUUAAUCCCCAGAUUCAAGGAUCACCAAUAAUGUAACGAGAAUCUUUUAGGCAGACAACUUUAAAAAUCUACCAAGGGAGGUGGCAGUUUCCAGUAAUUCCAUGAAUUGAAAUCCUCCUGUGAAAACAACCGAAGAAUUGGUUCAAUAAAAGUAAUUCAAGAAUUAGUCCAAGUUCAGUUUGGAGAUUAAGAACCUGCUCGGAUGAGGUCAUGGGAGGAAACAUCCCAUUGACAAGAGUGUGAAGAGAAGUAUAAGAUUUCGUGUCGACACGGCGGUUUACAACAACCUCCCCCUACAAGCAUGAAUUUUUUUAUGAAUUCUGAUGCUACCAAGUAAUAUAAGAUUAUUCUGUUUUUCAACUCAUAUUCAUGAAUCCCCCCCCCUAAAUACCUUGGGAUUAAUAAUGAAAAUUUUUCCUUUUGGAAUUCCAACUUUAAGGUAGCUAAAUUCAUCCGUGUCCCUGUUUCCAAACCCAGCAUAAAAUGGAUUGCAAUCUGGAGGAAAUAGUUCUCGAAUUCUCUAAAAGUUACAAAAAGCAGACUAUGAGCCAUCUUAUUCAGAAGUCAGAUCACAUGUAAACAUAUGAUAUUCAAAAUUUCUAAUUUGAGGGAUUGUAUCCAGAAAAUUGCUUAAUUCCAAGUAAAAAUACAUUUUUAACAGUCAUGCAUCGAAACUGCAGCUCAUCAAAGUAUACUUAUGAAAAUGAAGAAUGUAAAAUUUGUAUAAGUUUCAAUAUCAAAGAAAAAUAUCAACAAAGAUAGAAGAAACUAACCUCCAAGCAAGCAAUCUUGAACUCAUGAGGAGCCCGCCUAAUAACUGUGAAGGAGGAAAUGAGCUCAAAGGUAUUUAUUCACAAAUCCAAGCAUGCCUAGCCUAUUUAUAUGUUUUUCAAUUAUUGCAUUGUUAAGAACUUUUCUCUUCAAAUUAUGCUUACAACCCAUUCUCCACAAUUAGCCAGGAAAACUUCACGCACCCCAAAGCUAGAAUUAGGAGAUAGGUUUUUUUACCAGAAAGCUUAAUUUUAAGUUUUUUUCCAAGGAAAGCAUCCCCUGCUCUAUACCCUCCCUCUACCCCGGGCAUAUGCUUUCAAUAAACCAGGCAUUUAGAAUCACAAGAUGGAUGCAAAUGCCGGAGACUCUUAAAAGGCCAAAGGAUUUGAAGGACUCUGCUAAAGUAUGUGUAUUUCAAGGGAAAAACAUACUGCAUCAAACUACUAAAUAGUUGCAAUUUCCUAGUUUAAAUAUAAACAAUAAAUCUAAGAAUACAUUCAAUAACCAAAACUUUCUCCAGAACAUCUAGCAAUUUACUAAAAUCUAGACUUAGAAGAGAGAAGUGUUGAAUAGUAAUUCUCAAAAGCAUAAAUAGGAGGGAAAAGCUAUAAUAUGUUUCACGUAAUUUCUAACUAAGAGAAGGGAUAAAAGGCAGUAACCUUCACGAUAUAGUGAAGGGAAAAGCCCAUCAGGGGAGAUAACAACAGGCCCCUCUGGUAAAGCCUUCCCAUCCUGCAUUGAUACAAACCAGGUAAAGAUCAAUCGUGGAGUAGUCAAGAAUUUAAGCUCUAAAUAGUGAAUACAUUACUUGUUUAAGGUUGAAAAGAAAUUGACGGGUGUGAUACGCCUGAGAAAUUGAUCGUGCACUGAGAAAAAGCAAUUGGUACCCAUUUUCCUGAAAAGAUAUAAAAAUAAAUUAAAUUGGGAGAGUUCAUUGCAUCAUAAUUCAUCACAUACGAUCGUCCAACUAAUGAGGAUGGGAUAAAAGCUUACCUUAAUAGCAGAAAAUAAAUUUGUGACACCUGUUUGUGACCAAUCCAUUCCAACAAAGGGCAUGAAUUGACCCAGAACAUCCGACCUAAGAAAGUGACAGAAGAGGAAAAAGUAAAGAGAGUGAGCACAAGAGAGGAAAAAAAAGAAGAAAAAAGGGUAAAUAUUUGUUUAAGUCCCGUUUGAUAACUUCUUUUUUAGAAAUUGACUAAGAAUUCAAGUGUUUCUGUAAGGAAGUUGAAAGUCGUAGCUUGGAACUUGAGAGGAAACAAGCAUGAAUUUCAAAUUCAGAAAACUAAAAAUUAAAUCAUCGUCAAAUGAGGUUUGAGCUGUUUAUUGUGCAAGAACAUUUGGCAAAACAAGAAAGAACUCCAUUGACUGAAAAGCUAACGGUACAAAUAAGCCAGACUUGAACAAAUGAUAGAAAAGCAAGGAAAAUUUACUGUGGAAAAUUUCUGUUUUCAUUUUCUUUCUUUAAUGGCAAAAAAAAACAGUGAUUAAUUAAUAAUAGAAUGGAAAGUGAAACAAAUCACCAAUGUAAUAACAAAUAUGGGAAUCCUCCUACACUGCGUACAAACAAAAGAAAUACUAAAAUCAAAAGAUUUGACUUUCUUCAGCUAUAACCAAAAAUGGACUCUAGUUCAAUAGGUUCGACAUCUUCCUAAAAGUCUUCCUUUUCUUUACCACCGGAUGAUCAAAUAACAUGAACAAACUGCUGAACCGUACAUUUCUGAAGAGUACCACUCUUCUUUGACGUCAUUCCACCAAAAAUAAAGUUCAACAGCCACCAAACCAGCCAAGUAGUAAUUCAGGCUUCUCAUCUCUCAGUUACAUACUAUUUUGCAGCCCUAUUUAUACAAUGAACAGAAAGUUCAUCAUCAAAACUCUAUUCUGAAAAGUUUACCCAACCACCAUUGUAUUCUCUGAACAGCCAACAGGCGAAAAGCAUUUAUCUGAUUUCUUAUGAUCUGAAUUUCAAGGAGUCAGUGAUGGUUAAAUUCCUGCAUUGGCAAUACAGUUGGCUUGUGUUUCCCAAGCUUGCAUGAAAACUUCCUACUAACAUAGAAAUUAGGAAGUGUUCAAGAACUACCUAUUCAUGUUUAGUUCACAAAGGUUUCGUUUCUGCAGCUGGAGAAUUUAACCCUAAUAUAAUUUUCCCACAACUGAAUCGCUAAGUGAAUAAUGAAGAAAACUCGUGUACAAGAAACUUGAUUCCAGGGCUUUUUUUCUUCCGAUAAGAAACAAACGUCCAAUAUCAAAGAGAAUGUUAAUUUGAUGGCAGAAGAUUCUAAUGACUCAACCAAGUGCCCUGUUUUCAUUCUGGAAAGGUAUAUAAAGGAGCCAACAACUGGAGCAAAUAAUACCAAACAAGAGUUACUCUGCAUAAAUAAAACUAUGCUCAAAAUCAGUAUAUCACAUCCAAAAUCAUCAGGAUAAAAGAACAUACUUUGUUAUUGUCCCAUCCACAUCUGAUAUCACUACACGAGUAUUCCAUUUCCAUAAAUAAAUCCGGGCAUCAACCUAUUCAGAAACAUAAUCAUAAACAAAUGCAAAUAUGAAGGGAAAUAAAUAAAGAAAUAGGACAGGGGUGGCUGAAUUCUUCUUAUUAUUAUUAUUUAAAAAAAAAAAAACCUUGACCUGCUGCUUUCCAAGCACUGCAGUGUAAAAUGUGAAAGUUAUCGUGUUCCCCCCUUCCUUGAGAUUUAAGGAUGCCAGCUGCUCUGAUGUCGGUGAGAGGGAUUUAACCAUCUGUUUCUCUACCUUGUGCUUAACAAUGCUUGCUUCUCCAUCCAGUCCAUUAUUUCUAUCUGAAUCCUUCUUAAUAUCAAAAUCUAUGCAUCCAUCAACAGCUGAUUGAGUUCCUUUACUAGAAUUAGAUCUUUUAAAAGAGAAAGGCCAAAGUUUCCAAUUUCCAACUGGGUCAACAGUUGCUUCUGCUGGACUACCUGCACAAGUUUUCUCAAUGGGAUCAAGAGCUAUAAUGCGUUUCAUUACGAACAUACAUUCAUGUUUUCACUAAUAAUGAUCCUCAACUAAAUAGAGCACCUCACUCCAUAAAGAAUAACUGCCAAAUUUUAAUCAUAAAGAAAGGAAGCAAUAUAAUUCUUAAAAAACACAAAGGAUCAUUUACAUAAUCUAGAGCCUAAACAGUUACAAAAUUGAUGAAACAGUAAAGGUACUCAAAGAUAAAUUUUUACAAUAAGAUAUCUAAAUUAUCUUACCUGCUCCAGAGUUACGAAUAAUAUUUUUUCGUUCUUCUGAAACCCAUGGUUCUUCAGAUUUUGACCGAUCCUCUGCCACUUUCUCUUCUCCAUCACCACCAGUCUUGGAGCUUGCAUUAUCCUUACAAAAUUCCAUCCAGUUCAAUGGUUUUGAAUUUGAGUCCACAGAAUGGCUUAGAGGAUGAUUGAGCUUACAGACAAUUGAAUUAUCAAUCCUAGCCUGCAUAUUGGGUAGUGAAGCUGCCAGACGCUCAACUUCUUUACUAGAAAUUGGAUGACUUGGAGGAAUUGUGAUGGGACUUGUAAUCCUCUGAUUGAAGAUCUCUUGACUGUCUACAGAACUGCUUGUCACAUAACUUCUAUUUGCAAACCUAUCCUCUUCAUCAAUGCUACUUGGAUAUACUAAUGGAUAAUCUUCUUUAUCAUCGAAAUGUUGACUUUCUGACUCUAUACUCCCAUUAACCUCAGUUUUUGGAACAUCAAUAUCACUGAAAAGGAAUUGUUCAUCAUCUGAAUUUGUUGCCGGCAGUAUAUGACUUUCUUUUGUUGCAACUCUGUUAUCAAUAGAACUCAAAGAAUUUUGGAACUUGCUGGUCACACUUCCAUCUACACUUUUGUCAUCUUGAAAAUCUGAGCAGAAACUUGAACCUGUGCUAUCAAACUUCAAUUCUUUAACGGAACCAGGCAUUUCUUCUGUGGACACAAUUUGAGAAUAGGAAGCUUCAAGUGUUGGUGUU